UGGCAAGCCACAGAUGCAGAGCAUGAAUUU
Molecule: non-coding RNA, 30 nt
Filed under: Mus musculus (house mouse)
Lineage: Eukaryota; Metazoa; Chordata; Mammalia; Rodentia; Muridae
Source: RNAcentral